Molecule: ribosomal RNA, 478 nt
Filed under: uncultured bacterium
Lineage: Bacteria
Description: bacterial SSU rRNA
Rfam family: Bacterial small subunit ribosomal RNA
Source: RNAcentral
UGCGAACUCCUACGGGAGGCAGCAGUGGGGAAUUUUGGACAAUGGGGCAACCCUGAUCCAGCAAUGCCGUGUGAGUGAAGAAGGCCUUCGGGGUGUAAAGCCCUUUUGGCAGGGAAAAAACGGUAGUAGCUAAUAUUUAUUACUAAUGACGGUACCUGAAGAAUAAACACCGGCUAACUACGUGCCAGCAGCCGCGGUAAUACGUAGGGUGCAAGCGUUAAUCGGAAUUACUGGGCGUAAAGCGUGCGCAGGCGGUUGUGUAAGUCAGAUGUGAAAUCCCCGGGCUCAACCUGGGAAUUGCAUUUGAGACUGCACGGCUAGAGUGUGUCAGAGGGGGGUAGAAUUCCACGUGUAGCAGUGAAAUGCGUAGAUAUGUGGAGGAAUACCGAUGGCGAAGGCAGCCCCCUGGGAUAACACUGACGCUCAUGCGCGAAAGCGUGGGGAGCAAACAGGAUUAGAAACCCUGGUAGUCCAGAUG